This is a non-coding RNA of Ateles paniscus x Ateles fusciceps (black spider monkey x brown-headed spider monkey), 40 nucleotides long. The record is from Rfam. Lineage: Eukaryota; Metazoa; Chordata; Mammalia; Primates; Atelidae.
UCAUGGUGGUGGCUGGGGGCAACCCCAUGGUGGCGGCUGG